CCGUUUUCUGUAUCUCACUUCCGCAAUGGUCCCCACCUUGCCUGGAGACCAAGCUUUCUUUGCAGGCCUCAUCAAGUGUGCUUGUGGCUUCAUCAAUAAAAUUUGGAAGCAAUUAAUUUGGAGGAGGAAAGAGUCUAAGUAAGAUGCCUAACAGAUCUUGGUGCGUUGACAACCUUGAAACUUGAUGUUAAUGGACAGGUACAAAGAUGAAGAUGAGCUGAACAGUCUUAGUGGUUGAAGCUGCUGCAUGUAAGAUAAGCAUGUUAAAUCCAUGCCAUGUAUACUGCAAAUCCCAAUCCUGUGCACAAAGCAGGCAUUGCUAAGAAGACCCUGCUGUAUUUAAAAAGCCUAGAUGCACUGAUAGAACCCUCAACACAGGACUCCAGCCAUGGACUACCAUUGGUUCAGAGCUGCCAGUCCAGUAGUAGCUUAUGCAUCACCUACGGUAGAGUGGAAACUCUCCUGCACACGCCAGUCACUCCAAGGGCACUUUAAUUAAAACCACACAAAAUUUUUGUAGAUAACAAUAAACUUGAUUAUGGAUAAAUCAUGAAAUCAAUAAAUAUAGA
This 569-nucleotide long non-coding RNA is filed under the name Homo sapiens (human). RNAcentral describes it as "HSALNT0355915". Lineage: Eukaryota; Metazoa; Chordata; Mammalia; Primates; Hominidae. The record is from RNAcentral.